UUGGGGUGGCCGAUGGCGGAUUAGCUAGUUGGUGGGGUAAAGGCUCACCAAGGCGACGAUCCGUAGCUGGUCUGAGAGGACGACCAGCCACACUGGGACUGAGACACGGCCCAGACUCCUACGGGAGGCAGCAGUGGGGAAUUUUGGACAAUGGGCGCAAGCCUGAU
This 167-nucleotide ribosomal RNA is filed under the name Burkholderia sp. STW8-14. RNAcentral describes it as "partial 16S ribosomal RNA". It matches the Rfam family "Bacterial small subunit ribosomal RNA", at positions 221 to 387 of the family's 1533-position model. The record is from RNAcentral. Lineage: Bacteria; Pseudomonadati; Pseudomonadota; Betaproteobacteria; Burkholderiales; Burkholderiaceae.